This 499-nucleotide non-coding RNA is filed under the name Motiliproteus sp. MSK22-1. RNAcentral's name for it is "Bacterial large subunit ribosomal RNA". It matches the Rfam family "Bacterial large subunit ribosomal RNA", at positions 2340 to 2834 of the family's 2925-position model. Lineage: Bacteria; Pseudomonadati; Pseudomonadota; Gammaproteobacteria; Oceanospirillales; Oceanospirillaceae. The record is from Rfam by way of RNAcentral.
AGGAGAUUAGUGCAAUGGCAUAAGCCAGCUUAACUGCGAGACAGACACGUCGAGCAGAUACGAAAGUAGGUCAUAGUGAUCCGGUGGUUCUGUAUGGAAGGGCCAUCGCUCAACGGAUAAAAGGUACUCCGGGGAUAACAGGCUGAUACCGCCCAAGAGUUCACAUCGACGGCGGUGUUUGGCACCUCGAUGUCGGCUCAUCACAUCCUGGGGCUGAAGCCGGUCCCAAGGGUAUGGCUGUUCGCCAUUUAAAGUGGUACGCGAGCUGGGUUUAGAACGUCGUGAGACAGUUCGGUCCCUAUCUGCCGUGGGCGUUUGAGAUUUGAGAAGAGCUGUUCCUAGUACGAGAGGACCGGAAUGGACGAACCUCUGGUGUUCGGGUUGUCAUGCCAAUGGCAUUGCCCGGUAGCUACGUUCGGACGGGAUAACCGCUGAAAGCAUCUAAGCGGGAAGCCCCCUUCAAGAUGAGAUCUCACUUGGACCUUGAGUCCACUAAAGA